AACGCGAAGAACCUUACCUGGGCUUGAACUACUCGUGGUAGUUCGAUGGAAACAUUGAGCGACCCGCAAGGGAGCGAGCAGAGGUGCUGCAUGGUUGUCGUCAGCUCGUGUCGUGAGAUGUUGGGUUAAGUCCCGCAACGAGCGCAACCCUCGCCCUUAGUUGCCAUCAUUCAGUUGGGCCCUCUAAGGGGACUGCCGGUGAUAAGCCGCGAGGAAGGUGGGGAUGACGUCAAGUCCUCAUGGCCCUUACGGGCUGGGCUACACACGUGCUACAAUGGCGGUGACAGUGGGACGCAAUGGGGCAACCCUGCGCAAAUCUCAAAAAGCCGUCUCAGUUCGGAUUGCACUCUGCAACUCGAGUGCAUGAAGUUGGAAUCGCUAGUAAUCGCAGAUCAGCACGCUGCGGUGAAUACGUUCCCGGGCCUUGUACACACCGACGCAC
Molecule: ribosomal RNA, 442 nt
Filed under: uncultured bacterium
Lineage: Bacteria
Description: bacterial SSU rRNA
Rfam family: Bacterial small subunit ribosomal RNA
Source: RNAcentral